CGCGCCGCGCCCCCGCAGCUUUGUGGGAAAUGUAGUCCGGCUCCCCGGGGUGGAGAUGCUGGGAGGGGCGGCAUUGGUCCGCUGGUUGCCCUGGCUCCUGCUGGGAGAGGCUCUGCCUCCUCUGAUCCUGCCCACCCCCUGGGAAGGACACCACAGGAAGGAAGGAGAAGGCAAUGGCUGCUGGGCCUCUACUAUUGGGAGUUCAGAUUUUUAGCACCUCCCUACCAUGUGCUAAGCAGCGUUCUGGGUUCUAGGAAGGUAGCAGUGAAUGAAACAGGUAACACCCCUUCCUCCUGGAUCUUCUCUUCUAGAAAGAGGAGGCAGCAGUGAAGAAGAAAUACUGCUGAGGACGAGGUUACAUGCUGUGAUGGCCACGCAGCAGGGUGGCCUGGCUGAGUGUGACGGGGCACCUUUGAGGAGAUGGCAUUCAAACUGUUGUAAAUCUGUUGAAAUAAUCUAUUGAAUAAUCUGCUUAUUAUCCAUUGAUUUGAAAUGCUACCUUUAAAAUAUACUAAAUUUAUAUAUGUAUAUAAGAUGUGCACAUAUAAUAUAUUCACACACAUACAUACAUGCAUGAGUUUAUUUUUCUGGAUUCUGUUCUAUUGCUCUAUUUCUACUAUAGUAACACACUAUUUGUUUUAGAAUUUAUUUUGUUAUUUUAUAAAGAAAAUCCACCCCCCCUUGUUUUUCUUUUCAAAAUUUUGGUUACUGUACUGUUCUUAUACAUUUAUCCUUAGGGUCAAAUUUUGUUAACUAUAAUCAAGUUCUAACAGAAACAGUUAAAAAGAAAAAAUAUGCAAUUUGGAUUUGGAUUCAUUAAAUCUGUAUCAGUUUGAGGAAGAUUACCAUAUUUACAAUGUUUAUUCUUCCUACUGAGUAAAAAAAUUACCCUUCAUUUUAUUUGGAUCUUUCAUUAUGGAUUUUGUUAACUUUGAUCAUGAGGCUCUUGCUUAUUCCUAGUAAGUAUAUUCUGAGGUGUUUCAUUUUUGUUGCACUGUGAUUGGGAUUUAUCCAUGAUUGUGGCUUUGUUAAAAAAAAAAGAAGAAAUUGGGUUGCUAAGAAUUAUAUUUGAAGACACUUUGCUGUUGUGGUGCCUAAAACUUCAUCACUAUUGUAUCUUCUUUAUAAAGUAUACUUUCAUUAUUAAAAUAUCCCUAUUUAUUCCAUUUGAUAAUUCAUCUUUUUAAAGAAUAACAAUAUCAAAAAAGCCUGUGUUUCAGGUUUAAGAAAACCUCUGCAUAAAGGAGAUAAACCCAUGAAGCUGCUUAUUUCAAACACCCUGAGUUACCCCAUGCUUAAUGUAGUGCUGGGGAGAAAAAACGCAUAAUAAGUGGAAAGGAGAAAGGCAGAAAACAUUUUAAGGGAUUAACAACAAAUACAUUUUAUGAACGAUACAGUUAAGUUUCACUUCAGCCUUUUAAAAUGCCUUUCUGUACUAAUCUACCCAGGGCUCCAUAGUACGUUACAUAGUAGGGACAAGCUCUGCAGCACGAGGGCUGGAGGUUGGGGGUGGGUAGGUUCUGCACUUAAGGGAAUCUAGGGAAUAGAAGAAUCUAGGGAAGUGGGGAAGACGAGCAUAUAGCCCAUAGGAGUCUGAGUUUGGGCUUUUAAUUUUGCCCAAUAUGUUCAGCUAAAAAGGCAAUUGCCUUGUAAUUAAUUUAUUGAAAGUAGAGUAAUUUUUGGAAAGAGUGUCAUAUUUCUGCUCUGUUGUUUUUCAGAAAGAAGGGGCUUAUGUUUUGUUUCCACAUAUAUUCUACGUUAUUUGAUAUUGAUAUGGUCUCCUCCAUGCCUUUUUGUUUGUUUGCUUUUGUCUGCUAUAUCUCGUCUCUAUCACCACCCCUUUUUAACAAUUUUUUGGUUUGUGUUUUAGGUGUAUCUCUUGUAUGUGCCAUAUAAUUGUGUUUUAAACCAAUUUUACAGUUUUUGUCUAUUAAUAGACAAAGUCAACCCAUUUACAUUUGUUGUUAUGCAUGUAUCAAGUCUUUUUCUGGUUAUUUAAUGAUUUGUCCUUAUUAUGCUUUCUUGUUUCCUUUCUUCUCCUUGCUUUAAAUUUUUGAACUGAUGAUUUUUCUUGUUUCCUUUUCUUCCUUUCAUAAAAUGAAAAUUCUGCCAUGUAUUUAUAUCCUGCUAGUAGCUACUUUUACUUUUCUUGACACUAUUUGUCAGUGAUUUUUAACAUAUUUUUGUUAUUUUGAUAUACUGAUUUAAAAGUAUUAGGAGAAAAUAAUGAGGUAGAAAGAUAUAUGAUAAAUUCUGUGCCUCAGGGUUGACACUUUCUUCUGGAGUUCAUAGCCAGUAGGAUGUAAAAUACACAACUUGCUUGGAAAUUGGUUUCAUUCCAUCUCUGGUCUCUCCAGUCCUUUUCUUUCCACUAACUUUCUCCCCUUUGCCUAUUCACAUAUUACAGUGCUCUCUGUCCUUAAAGGAAAACCUUUUCCAUUGCUUUAUUUACACGACUUAUUCCUUACUUCUUUUCAUACAGUGUUAUCUCUCAUCUUCACAAAAAGUUUGAAGUAAUUUCAUCUGGCUGCUUCUGAUUCCUGAUCCUAUCUUCCUUAUCUUCUCCACUGUAAGCUGACUUCUUCCUUCAUGACUCUUCUGAAAUUAGCUAAUUUUCGAAUCAGCAGAUUCUUUUCAAUCAUCAUUCUGUUUGACCCACCCAGCUUCUGAUAGUGUUGACUAGUCCCUCCUCUUUGAAACCCUCUUUCUCCUGAGCUUCAAUCCUGAGUCUCCUUCCAUCUCCCUUUCUGUCUUUCUCUCGCUCUUCCUCUUGCUGAGGAUUGCUAGGGUCUUUUCUUGGCCUUCUCCUCACAACAUGAGGAGUUGAAUGGCCUUGGGUUCAAGCUCUAUGAUCUUGGAGAGGUUAUUUAACCUUUUUGUUCCUCAGAUUCCUCAUCUGUAAAAUGAUGACUUUAAUUCUGUCACUUUAGCAGGUUGUCCUUUGGAUUAAAUGAGCUGAGGCAUACGAACCUCCUAUUAGUACAGAACUGAGUAUAAUGUGAGUUAUCAUGUAUGGUAACUGCCACUCAGUUAGUGUUCCCUCCUUGUAUUAGUUAGGGUUCUCCAGAGAAACAGAACCAAUAGGAUAUAUGUAGAUAUACAGAAAGAGAUUAUGAGGAAUUGGCUCACACAAUUAUGCAGGACAAAGAGUCCCCAUGAUCUGCCAUCUACACUCGUAGGGCUCAGGAAAGCCAGUGCUGCAGUCCCACUCCAAACGCGGAGGCCUGAGAUCCAGGGACCAAUGGUGGUAAGUCCUGGUCUGAGUCUGAAGGCUCAAGAGGUAGGAGCAUUUAUGUCUAAGGGCAGGAGAAAAUGGCUAUCUCAACUCAAGCAGAGAGAGCAAAUCCACCUUUCCUCAGCCUUUUUGUUCUAUUUGGGCCCUCAGCAGAUUGGAUGAUGCCCUCUCACCUCUUUGUUCAGUCUACUGAUUCAAAUGGGAGAACUCUCACAGAAAUACCCAGAAAGAAUGCUUUACCAACUCUCUGGGCAUACCUUAGCCCAGUCAAGUUGACACAUGAAAUUAACCAUCAUACGCAUCAGAUAGUGAAUGCUUACAGAGUUUUAUUUCCUAGUCUAAGGGCUAGAAAACAAAGCUCAAAUGGGCUUAUAAAUUUGAAAUGCCAUUUUCAAGUCCAGCUGGGUGUUUUGUUGGUUGUCUCAUAGACCAACCACAGUCUAGAUUUAUCCUGUUUGCACAUGCUUUCCCCGCAUUAACUGGAAUUCCCACCCAGUGAUUGUAAAGCCUAAAAUUCCAUGUGCUGCUUCUACAACUCUGAGCCUUAGGGAGCUCCAAAGACCUCGUUGUGAGUUCCCCUGCUCUAUCUGGAUAGGCCCCCACCCACUGGGAAAGGCUCCACACCCAACUAGCUCCCCUGUCAGCCUGGCCAGGUACACCCCUCCUAAUCCUCAACGUAAUGGUUUUCACCUCCCUAGCAGCCCACGAAAGUGUUCAAACAAGCCAGUCACAUCUUCCCGUGGGAACCAAGGGUCACCUCAGCCUCCUGUCAGUACCAAGUCUGCCUCCCACAGCCCCUGCGGUUCACUGUUCCUGAGUACAGGCCCCGAGUGGUCUUGCAUGGCAUGGGGUUGUGAGGCCAACUUGUGACUAAUGAACUCCUGUCAGGCUCAUCUGUCCAGUGCUGGGUGUCAUAUAUUCGGUCACCGUGUGCUAUUUAGGGUGGGGAAUCCCUCCUUCAUCAAUGGAGUGAAUAGGAUACAAUCAGAACACCACCUACUCUUCUCCAGUGCUAAUCUAGAGCAGCCUUCACUAUCCUUCCCUAUGACUCCUUAUACCUCCUCUUCCUGUCCUUAAAUGUCAGAGCACUUUGUAUAUUUGUCUCUGAUUAUUUCAUGAUAAUGUCGGUUUUUGUUGCAGGUGUUUAGUUUCUUUUGGAGGAUAAUAUUUUUCUCUCACAGAUCUCUUCUGUCCCUUCUAAUGCUGCUUGUUUUUUUGUUUUUUGUUUUUUAAUUUCCAUAGAGGGUGUUAUUGGCAUAAUCCUUUGUUCAGUAGAAAUUUAUAGUUUCAGGAAUCAGUGACAUUCAAGAAUGUGUCUGUAGAUCUUACCUGGGAGGAGUGGGUCCAAUCUAAAUUCUGCUCAGAGGAACUUGUAUGGGAAAGUGAUACAGUAACCUGCUUUCGCUGGGUAAGGACUUCUCCUUGUAACUCAAAACCUACCUAUUGCCAUCUUUCCCACUAUUGACAUCUUGUACAGCCUCUGAAAUUUGUGAAUAUGGACUUGAAAUCCUGAUACUACAGGACAUUGUUUUAGGGUAGUUCCUUAGUGUCCUGUCUUUCAAGGUGAAAGGCCUUCUCUAUAGAGAAUGGAAAACUGGGAAAUCUCAGAAGCCACACCUUCCUUUGUUACAGAAGCCCUGAAGAUGAAGGGAUAAGACAUAUGC
Molecule: RNA transcript, 4899 nt
Organism: Orcinus orca (killer whale)
Lineage: Eukaryota; Metazoa; Chordata; Mammalia; Artiodactyla; Delphinidae
Exons: 3
Source: RefSeq, a predicted model, not a curated record